This 468-nucleotide ribosomal RNA is filed under the name uncultured bacterium. RNAcentral describes it as "partial 16S ribosomal RNA". It matches the Rfam family "Bacterial small subunit ribosomal RNA", at positions 28 to 507 of the family's 1533-position model. The record is from RNAcentral.
GACGAACGCUGGCGGCGUGCUUAACACAUGCAAGUCGAACGGAAAGGCCCUGCUUUUGUGGGGUGCUCGAGUGGCGAACGGGGGAGUAACACGUGAGUAACCUGCCCUUUACUUUGGGAUAAAUUCAGGAAACUGGGGCUAAUACCGGAUAGGAGCUCCUGCUGCAUGGUGGGGGGUGGAAAGUUUCGGCGGUUGGGGAUGGACUCGGGGCUUAUCAGCUUGUUGGUGGGGUAGUGGCUUACCAAGGCUUUGACGGGUAGCCGGCCUGAGAGGGUGACCGGCCACAUUGGGACUGAGAUACGGCCCAGACUCCUACGGGAGGCAGCAGUGGGGAAUAUUGCACAAUGGGCGGAAGCCUGAUGCAGCAACGCCGCGUGCGGGAUGACGGCCUUCGGGUUGUAAACCGCUUUCGCCUGUGACGAAGCGUGAGUGACGGUAAUGGGUAAAGAAGCACCGGCUAACUACGUG